RNAcentral lists this ribosomal RNA (429 nucleotides) under Chloroflexota bacterium. Its description in RNAcentral is "Chloroflexi bacterium partial 16S ribosomal RNA". It matches the Rfam family "Bacterial small subunit ribosomal RNA", at positions 355 to 776 of the family's 1533-position model. Lineage: Bacteria; Bacillati; Chloroflexota. The record is from RNAcentral.
UGGGGAAUAUUGCACAAUGGGCGCAAGCCUGAUGCAGCCAUGCCGCGUGUGUGAAGAAGGCCUUCGGGUUGUAAAGCACUUUCAGCGGGGAGGAAGGCGAUAAGGUUAAUAACCUUGUCGAUUGACGUUACCCGCAGAAGAAGCACCGGCUAACUCCGUGCCAGCAGCCGCGGUAAUACGGAGGGUGCAAGCGUUAAUCGGAAUUACUGGGCGUAAAGCGCACGCAGGCGGUCUGUCAAGUCGGAUGUGAAAUCCCCGGGCUUAACCUGGGAACUGCAUUCGAAACUGGCAGGCUAGAGUCUUGUAGAGGGGGGUAGAAUUCCAGGUGUAGCGGUGAAAUGCGUAGAGAUCUGGAGGAAUACCGGUGGCGAAGGCGGCCCCCUGGACGAAGACUGACGCUCAGGUGGGAAAGCGUGGGGAGCAAACAGG